ACCUCCGGAACGAAUUAAGUACUUAACCCGAGGUACCACUGUACUGCAGAUAUUUGGGAGAAGCUGCACCUGAGCACUGAAGCUGUUGGACUACGAUGCCUUUAGGGCUGGGGAGUCAGCUAAACCUUUUCCUUUUCACUUUUCCAACUUGCUUUUACCACAAAAUCAGAUUCUUUGUUUUUCCUGCUCAUUAUUUGCAGUAAAUAUGGUUCUGGUACUUCCUGAAUCUUAAGGGGAUGAAGGGUUUAUUUAUGACAGUUUCUGGUUUAAAAGAUCAGGGUUUGAUAUUGUUUUAAAAUACUGAAGAAAGUGAUUUCAGUCAAUAAUUGUGUUACUUUCUAAAUAACUUCUUUUAAAAAUGAUUUUGGACAAAAAAAAUACAGAUUGCUGUAUUUUAGCUUUGGCACAUUUUAAACGAGCAUUUAGUUUCUUACUGUAAUACCAGAAAUAGGAGGAAAGUGUUUCUGUAAACAUAGGGAAAGUAAAAACUGGAGGUAGUCUCUCUUAACAGAAUGUAUUACUGGUCUGUUUGCUGUGUUAAAUGGUUUAAAUUAAUUGUGUGAACACAUUCACCAUGUAAUGACGUGUGUGCGUGCGUAAUUUGGGAGGUGAGGGCAAAAUGUUUUACGAAAAAGAAGUUGAGUAUGUAAGACUGCAAUCCGAAAUCCACUUAUCUGGGAGAAAAUCCCAUUGAGCACAAUGGGACUAAUAUCUGUGUCAAAGUGUAUAGGCUUGCACUGCAAAUUAGAAAACAAUAUCCAGCAUCAACAACCAAAAGAUUCUUUUUAAGUGCAAUAUAUUUAUUUCUGCCAGAAAUAUAAUAUCAACAUGAUGUGAUAUUUCAAGCACUAAAUGUGAUUUGUAAACAGCUUAAAAUGAUUAUAUAUAAAUAUAUAUAUAUAUCACAAAGUUGUACAUAAGUGCAAAUGUGUGGAUAUUCAUUUUUUCCUUUCAUUAAAAUACUGGGAUUUUUAAA
Long non-coding RNA from Podarcis raffonei (Aeolian wall lizard), 976 nucleotides. RefSeq lists it as uncharacterized. The record is from RefSeq and is a predicted model, not a curated record. Lineage: Eukaryota; Metazoa; Chordata; Lepidosauria; Squamata; Lacertidae. The transcript is spliced from 2 exons.